GUAAUUUUCCACUACUUGCCCUAAUCCUAUAAAACUGCCCCACUCCUAUCUCCCUUUGCUGACUCCUUUUUCGGACUCAGUCUGCCUGCACCCAUGUGAUUAAAAAGCUUUAUUGCUCACACAAAGCCUGUUUGGUUAUCUCUUCACACAGACAUGCGUGACAUUUGGUGCUGAAGACCCGGGAUGGGGGACUCCUUCGGGAGACUGGUCCCCUGUCCUCACCCUCACUCCAUGAGGAGAUCCACCUACAACCUCGGGUCCUCAGUCCAACCAGCCUAAGGAACAUCUCACCAAUUUCAAAUCAGGAUGCAAAGUUGGAAUAAGAGCAAUGACCACCUCUCCUGAGAGACCUGUUUGUUCCCACAUCUGUACUCUUCAGUCAACAGAACCUGAUGCAAAGAACAGAAAAGGGGAAGAUGUGGGGGAUUCAGUCAGGAUGGUGGGAGAAAUUGUAAAAUUAUAGGAAAUAAUCACAAACACUUGUGGAAGGCCUGGGGGUUUGCAUAAAAUGUUGGGCUGAAGGCAGCUGAAUUCUCUUAAAAGCUUAGGGCAUAGAUACACAGAAAUGUAGUUUAUCUAAAUGACUUGUUUACUUAUGUGGUCCUAAAACUAACCUUUGAUAGUUUAUGGGCAGGAUAGCUCUCUCAGGGUAGGGGGAGGGCAACCAGAUUGAUUACCCACUGAUGGUGUUGACUCAAAGCCUUCGUCAUUUAAUAUGUGCUGAAUAAAUGCCAGCAGGGCCAGUGAGUCAGGGCCACAGCUGCAACUCUUUACAGCACUCUCCUUUGAGUCUGUAAGUGGCCUAGACCCUCAGCCGGUCUGACAAGCAUAAUAUCUGUGUUAGUGUACAUUAUUCAUCCAUCGUUGGGUCAGGGUCUGCAGGACAGACCCCUAGAAAAAUAAAAUAAAAUUAAAAAUAGCCGGGUGUGGUUACACACACCUGUAAUCCCACCUACCUGGGAGGCUGAGAUAGAAUCGCUUGAACACAGGAGGCAGAAUUUGCAGUGAGCCGAGAUCAUGCCACUGCA
This 1028-nucleotide long non-coding RNA is filed under the name Homo sapiens (human). RNAcentral describes it as "HSALNT0257566". Lineage: Eukaryota; Metazoa; Chordata; Mammalia; Primates; Hominidae. The record is from RNAcentral.